RNAcentral lists this ribosomal RNA (253 nucleotides) under uncultured bacterium. RNAcentral describes it as "partial 16S ribosomal RNA". It matches the Rfam family "Bacterial small subunit ribosomal RNA", at positions 524 to 776 of the family's 1533-position model. The record is from RNAcentral.
UACUAAGGGGGCUAGCGUUGCUCGGAAUCACUGGGCGUAAAGCGCACGUAGGCGGACUCUUAAGUCGGUGGUGAAAUCCUGGAGCUCAACUCCAGAACUGCCUUCGAUACUGAGAGUCUCGAGUCCGGGAGAGGUGAGUGGAACUGCGAGUGUAGAGGUGAAAUUCGUAGAUAUUCGCAAGAACACCAGUGGCGAAGGCGGCUCACUGGCCCGGUACUGACGCUGAGGUGCGAAAGCGUGGGGAGCAAACAGG